This 460-nucleotide ribosomal RNA is filed under the name uncultured bacterium. RNAcentral describes it as "partial 16S ribosomal RNA". It matches the Rfam family "Bacterial small subunit ribosomal RNA", at positions 338 to 795 of the family's 1533-position model. The record is from RNAcentral.
CCUACGGGAGGCAGCAGUGAGGAAUAUUGGUCAAUGGACGAGAGUCUGAACCAGCCAAGUAGCGUGAAGGAUGACUGCCCUAUGGGUUGUAAACUUCUUUUAUAUGGGAAUAAAAUGUUCCACGUGUGGGAUUUUGUAUGUACCAUAUGAAUAAGGAUCGGCUAACUCCGUGCCAGCAGCCGCGGUAAUACGGAGGGUCCGUGCGUUCUCCGGAUUUAUUGGGUUUAAAGGGAGCGUAGGUGGAUUGUUAAGUCAGUGGGGAAAGUUUGCGGCUCAACCGUACAAUUGCAGUUGAACAUGGCAGUCUUGAGUACAGUAGAGGCAGGCGGAAGUCGUGGUGUAGCGGUGAAAUGCUUAGAUAUCACGAAGAACUCCGAUUGCGAAGGCAGCUCACUGGACUGCAACUGACACUGAGGCUCGAAAGUGUGGGUAUCAAACAGGAUUAGAUACCCUUGUAGUC